GAACGCACAUUGCACUCCUUGGUAUUCCGAGGAGUAUGCCUGUUUCAGUAUCAUGAGCACUCUCACAACUAACCUUUGGGUGAAAUUGUGGAAUUGGAAUGCGCUGAUUGUAAUAACCAGCCCUUCUAAAAUAUAUUUCAUGACUGUCACCUAACACAGCAGUUUGGCCUAAUAGUUUUGACAUUGAUUUGUCAAAUCUUUGGCUUACAUUUGCUUCAGGUUGUCAGUUUUGAUAAUACAGAAAACUCAUUCAAAUUUUGAUCUGAAAUCAGGUAGGGCUACCCGCUGAACUUA
Molecule: unclassified non-coding RNA, 294 nt
Filed under: uncultured Umbelopsis
Lineage: Eukaryota; Fungi; Mucoromycota; Umbelopsidomycetes; Umbelopsidales; Umbelopsidaceae
Description: sequence contains 5.8S rRNA gene
Rfam family: 5.8S ribosomal RNA (bases 1-53)
Source: RNAcentral